AAAACCUACGGGACGCAGCAGUGGGGGAUAUUGGACAAUGGGGGAAACCCUGAUCCAGCGAUGCCGCGUGAGGGAAGAAGGUUUUCGGAUUGUAAACCUCUGUGGAGGAGGACGAUAAUGACGGUACCCCUUUAGGAAGCCACGGCUAACUACGUGCCAGCAGCCGCGGUAAUACGUAGGUGGCGAGCGUUGUCCGGAAUUACUGGGUGUAAAGGGAGUGUAGGCGGGAAAGGAAAUCAGAAGUGAAA
This 248-nucleotide ribosomal RNA is filed under the name uncultured bacterium. Its description in RNAcentral is "partial 16S ribosomal RNA". It matches the Rfam family "Bacterial small subunit ribosomal RNA", at positions 334 to 599 of the family's 1533-position model. The record is from RNAcentral.